UACGGAGGGUGCAAGCGUUAUCCGGAUUCACUGGGUUUAAAGGGUGCGUAGGUGGGCUAGUAAGUCCGUGGUGAAAUCUCCAAGCUUAACUUGGAAACUGCCGUGGAUACUAUUAGUCUUGAAUAUUGUGGAGGUAAGCGGAAUAUGUCAUGUAGCGGUGAAAUGCUUAGAUAUGACAUAGAACACCGAUAGUGAAGACAGCUUACUAGGCUUAUACUGACGCUGAGGCACGAAAGUGUGGGGAUCAAACAGG
RNAcentral lists this ribosomal RNA (253 nucleotides) under uncultured bacterium. RNAcentral's name for it is "partial 16S ribosomal RNA". It matches the Rfam family "Bacterial small subunit ribosomal RNA", at positions 524 to 776 of the family's 1533-position model. The record is from RNAcentral.